RNAcentral lists this ribosomal RNA (425 nucleotides) under uncultured bacterium. RNAcentral's name for it is "partial 16S ribosomal RNA". It matches the Rfam family "Bacterial small subunit ribosomal RNA", at positions 354 to 796 of the family's 1533-position model. The record is from RNAcentral.
GUUAGGAAUAUUGGACAAUGGGCGAAAGCCUGAUCCAGCCAUGCCGCAUGAACGAUGAAGGCCUUCGGGUUGUAAAGUUCUUUAGCCGAUGAUUAUAAUGACUGUAGUCGGAAAAUAAGCCCCGGCUAACUUCGUGCCAGCAGCCGCGGUAAUACGAAGGGGGCGAGCGUUAUUCGGAAUCACUGGGCGUAAAGCGUGCGUAGGCGGUUUUGUAAGUUAGGAGUGAAAGCCCAGGGCUCAACCUUGGAAUUGCUCUUAAAACUGCAAGGCUCGAAUCUCGGAGAGGAUAGCGGAAUUUCCAGUGUAGCAGUGAAAUGCGUAGAUAUUGGAAGGAACACCAGUGGCGUAAGCGGCUAUCUGGACGAGUAUUGACGCUGAGGCACGAAAGCGUGGGGAUCAAACAGGAUUAGAUACCCUUGUAGUCC